Molecule: ribosomal RNA, 450 nt
Filed under: uncultured bacterium
Lineage: Bacteria
Description: partial 16S ribosomal RNA
Rfam family: Bacterial small subunit ribosomal RNA
Source: RNAcentral
GUGGGGAAUUUUGGACAAUGGGCGCAAGCCUGAUCCAGCCAUGCCGCGUGCAGGAUGAAGGCCUUCGGGUUGUAAACUGCUUUUGUACGGAACGAAAAGACUCUUUCUAAUAAAGAGGGUCCAUGACGGUACCGUAAGAAUAAGCACCGGCUAACUACGUGCCAGCAGCCGCGGUAAUACGUAGGGUGCGAGCGUUAAUCGGAAUUACUGGGCGUAAAGCGUGCGCAGGCGGUGAUGUAAGACAGAUGUGAAAUCCCCGGGCUCAACCUGGGAACUGCAUUUGUGACUGCAUCGCUGGAGUGCGGCAGAGGGGGAUGGAAUUCCGCGUGUAGCAGUGAAAUGCGUAGAUAUGCGGAGGAACACCGAUGGCGAAGGCAAUCCCCUGGGCCUGCACUGACGCUCAUGCACGAAAGCGUGGGGAGCAAACAGGAUUAGAAACCCCUGUAGUCC